GUAUUUUCGAAUUAGGUCAAUUCAAUGAUACAUUGCUUCAGACAAAACUGUUUUAAAUAGAUUAAUGGAUUAAAGAUUCUGACUUACGCGGCCCACUCGAAAGAGAUAAGCACGCAUAAGUAGAUUCAAACGUUGCACACAAGGUGGGUAUGGAAUUGUUAAAAGUGCCAUAAACACUUAUUGUGAAUGAUCCUUCCGCAGGUUCACCUACGGAAA
This 216-nucleotide unclassified non-coding RNA is filed under the name uncultured fungus. RNAcentral describes it as "sequence contains ITS1". The record is from RNAcentral. Lineage: Eukaryota; Fungi.